Cinara cedri is the source of this 335-nucleotide non-coding RNA. The record is from the annotation of a GenBank genome assembly. Lineage: Eukaryota; Metazoa; Arthropoda; Insecta; Hemiptera; Aphididae.
UUAAAAGUAUGCCUAUGUUACAUCUUAUGUACUUGGUCCUUAUCCUAUUUUUUCUCGUCAUUUCACUCAUUCAUUUAAACAUUCUCAUCUUCACUAUACGUAGUCUCUGUUUUAUACUUUUGUCUAUACCACUCAAUACUCUGAACCAUACAAAAUAGUCCAUUUCACUAUACUCUUGUAGAACUUACCUUUAAGUCUCAUUAGAAUUCUCUUGUUGCGAAAAACCCCUGACGUUUUUUUUCACUUGAUUUAAUCACACUUAAUCCUAUGUUCCACGUUCUCGUUACAGCCAACUACCAUUUUUUUUUAUAUAAAAUAUCCAAGAUAUAGAUAGC